Long non-coding RNA from Pelodiscus sinensis (Chinese soft-shelled turtle), 653 nucleotides. RefSeq lists it as uncharacterized. The record is from RefSeq and is a predicted model, not a curated record. Lineage: Eukaryota; Metazoa; Chordata; Testudines; Trionychidae.
GCCUAGCGACUCCUCAACCAUUCCCACUUCCGGCUCCCGCUCGCCCGGACGUGACGCAAGCACGCCGACACACCGCCGAUGGGAAACUGAGGCACAAUGAGAUGAAGUGACAUGCCCAAGGGCACACAGCAAGUCUGUGUUAGUCCCAAGAGUUGAACCCAGCUUUUCUGAAUAAUGAUACGGUGGCUGAAACACAAGAUCAUUCUUUCCUCUCCUUCAUGCCAGCUCUUCAGUCUGGAGAUUUCAAUGGAUUUAAGUCUACUAACAGCUGGACCAAAGGCUUAAUUGAGGGUCACAGGAGAAAUAAAUCAACAAAGGGCAAAUUCAUUCUAGCAAAGUUACUUCUUCAAGAUGUAUUCCCUGUCCUGGCAAUAUACCUUGGCAUCACUUCAGACAGCUGCAUCUUCCCCAUGUUUCCUGAGGGCUUGAAACCAGAAAGGAAAAAUUGUGAAAAGAUUUGAUUAAGGACACAUCUAGCUGCAUGACAUACAACAAGACACUGAAUUAUGCAACCAAAGAGUGCAAAGCAACCCCCCCACUCCUAAAGGGCUCCCAGACUACGGGAAGUCAGUCCUCUCCAGAAACAUCAAACCAAUGCUUGAUUUAAGAGAGAGAGAGAGAGAGAGAGUCAAAGCCAGGGGUGGGGAACCUCU